RNAcentral lists this ribosomal RNA (497 nucleotides) under uncultured bacterium. RNAcentral describes it as "partial 16S ribosomal RNA". It matches the Rfam family "Bacterial small subunit ribosomal RNA", at positions 28 to 507 of the family's 1533-position model. The record is from RNAcentral.
GAUGAACGCUGGCGGCGUGCCUAAUACAUGCAAGUCGAGCGAACAGACGAGAAGCUUGCUUCUCUAAUGUUAGCGGCGGACGGGUGAGUAACACGUGGAUAACCUACCUAUAAGACUGGGAUAACUUCGGGAAACCGUAGCUAAUACCGGAUAAUAUUUUGAACCGCAUGGUUCAAAAGUGAAAGACGGUCUUGCUGUCACUUAUAGAUGGAUCCGCGCUGCAUUAGCUAGUUGGUAAGGUAACGGCUUACCAAGGCAACGAUGCAUAGCCGACCUGAGAGGGUGAUCGGCCACACUGGAACUGAGACACGGUCCAGACUCCUACGGGAGGCAGCAGUAGGGAAUCUUCCGCAAUGGGCGAAAGCCUGACGGAGCAACGCCGCGUGAGUGAUGAAGGUCUUCGGAUCGUAAAACUCUGUUAUUAGGGAAGAACAAAUGUGUAAGUAACUGUGCACAUCUUGACGGUACCUAAUCAGAAAGCCACGGCUAACUACGUG